GAUGAACGCUGACAGAAUGCUUAACACAUGCAAGUCCACUUGAAUUUGGGUUUUUAACUUCGGUUUGGGUGGCGGACGGGUGAGUAACGCGUAAAGAACUUGCCUCACAGCUAGGGACAACAUUUGGAAACGAAUGCUAAUACCUAAUAUUAUGAUAAUAGGGCAUCCUAUAAUUAUGAAAGCUAUAAGCGCUGUGAGAGAGCUUUGCGUCCCAUUAGCUAGUUGGAGAGGUAACGGCUCACCAAGGCGAUGAUGGGUAGCCGGUCUGAGAGGGUGAUCGGCCACAAGGGGACUGAGACACGGCCCUUACUCCUACGGGAGGCAGCAGUGGGGAAUAUUGGACAAUGGACCGAGAGUCUGAUCCAGCAAUUCUGUGUGCACGAUGAAGUUUUUCGGAAUGUAAAGUGCUUUCAGUUGGGAAGAAACAAAUGACGGUACCAACAGAAGAAGUGACGGCUAAAUACGUG
Molecule: ribosomal RNA, 467 nt
Filed under: uncultured bacterium
Lineage: Bacteria
Description: partial 16S ribosomal RNA
Rfam family: Bacterial small subunit ribosomal RNA
Source: RNAcentral